RNAcentral lists this ribosomal RNA (468 nucleotides) under uncultured bacterium. RNAcentral's name for it is "partial 16S ribosomal RNA". It matches the Rfam family "Bacterial small subunit ribosomal RNA", at positions 28 to 507 of the family's 1533-position model. The record is from RNAcentral.
GACGAACGCUGGCGGCGUGCUUAACACAUGCAAGUCGAACGGAAAGGCCCUGCUUUUGUGGGGUGCUCGAGUGGCGAACGGGUGAGUAACACGUGAGUAACCUGCCCUUGACUUUGGGAUAACUUCAGGAAACUGGGGCUAAUACCGGAUAGGAGCUCCUGUUGCAUGGUGGGGGUUGGAAAGUUUCGGCGGUUGGGGAUGGACUCGCGGCUUAUCAGCUUGUUGGUGGGGUAGUGGCUUACCAAGGCUUCGACGGGUAGCCGGCCUGAGAGGGUGACCGGCCACAUUGGGACUGAGAUACGGCCCAGACUCCUACGGGAGGCAGCAGUGGGGAAUAUUGCACAAUGGGCGGAAGCCUGAUGCAGCAACGCCGCGUGCGGGAUGACGGCCUUCGGGUUGUAAACCGCUUUCGCCUGUGACGAAGCGUGAGUGACGGUAAUGGGUAAAGAAGCACCGGCUAACUACGUG